RNAcentral lists this microRNA precursor (89 nucleotides) under Canis lupus familiaris (dog). Its description in RNAcentral is "mir-8799 microRNA precursor family". It matches the Rfam family "mir-8799 microRNA precursor family". Lineage: Eukaryota; Metazoa; Chordata; Mammalia; Carnivora; Canidae. The record is from Rfam by way of RNAcentral. RNAcentral also lists the same sequence under 1 other name.
GCGGGGUGGUCGGAUCCUGGGCUGUGUCCCCGGUGUCCUGUGCUCCUGGGCCUGUGGUGUUGGAUUCGCGCUCCGGGGGGCAGCCCCCU